Molecule: ribosomal RNA, 468 nt
Filed under: uncultured bacterium
Lineage: Bacteria
Description: partial 16S ribosomal RNA
Rfam family: Bacterial small subunit ribosomal RNA
Source: RNAcentral
GAUGAACGCUGGCGGCGUGCUUAACACAUGCAAGUCGAACGGAAAGGCCCUUUCGGGGGUUCACGCGUGGGGGACGGGCGGGUAAGACGCACGUAAGUUACCCUCACCUCUCUGAUAGAUAUGGCUAACGGACGCGAACUCUUACCAGGUACUUCAAUGGCAUCUAUUGGGUUGGAAAGAGUUUUUUUGGUUGGGGAUGAACUCGCGGCCUAUCAGCUUGUUGGUGGGGUAGUGGCUCACCAAGGCUUCGACGGGUAGCCGGCCUGAGAGGGCGGCCGGCCACAUUGGGACUGAGAUACGGCCCACACUCCUACGGGAGGCAGCAGUGGGGAAUAUUGCACAAUGGACGGAAGUCUGAUGCAGCAACGCCGCGUGCGGGAUGACGGCCUUCGGGUUGUAAACCGCUGUCAAUAGGGACCAAGCUUUUUUGUGACGGUACCAGUAGAAGAAGCACCGGCUAACUACGUG